CUAACGCUGGUGGCGUGUCUUAGUCAUGCAAGUCGCACGAGAAAGCACCCUUCGGGGUGUUAGUACAGUGGCGAACGGGUGAGUAACACGUGGGCAACCUACCUUCGAGUGGGGAAUAACCCUUCCAACGAGGGGCUAAUACCGCAUAACACGGCAGCGUCGCAUGGCGCAGUCGUCAAAGGUGGCCUCUGCUUGCAAGCUGCCGCUUGAAGAUGGGCCCGCGCUCCAUUAGCUAGUUGGUGAGGUAACGGCUCACCAAGGCUACGAUGGAUAGCCGGCCUGAGAGGGUGAUCGGCCACACUGGAACUGGGAUAAGGUCCAGUCCCCUACGGGGGCCAGCAGUCUAGAAAUUUGCCCAAUGGACGAAAGUCUGAGGCAGCGACGCCACGUGGAGGAUGAAGCCUUUCGGGGUGUAAACUCCUGUCAGGGGGGAAGAACGUGGGCCGAUGAAUAGUCGGUUCAUCUGACGGUACCUCCAGAGGAAGCUCCGGCUAACUUC
Molecule: ribosomal RNA, 499 nt
Filed under: uncultured bacterium
Lineage: Bacteria
Description: bacterial SSU rRNA
Rfam family: Bacterial small subunit ribosomal RNA
Source: RNAcentral